This 85-nucleotide transfer RNA is filed under the name Felis catus (domestic cat). It matches the Rfam family "tRNA". Rfam says of the family: Transfer RNA (tRNA) molecules are approximately 80 nucleotides in length. Their secondary structure includes four short double-helical elements and three loops (D, anti-codon, and T loops). Further hydrogen bonds mediate the characteristic L-shaped molecular structure. tRNAs have two regions of fundamental functional importance: the anti-codon, which is responsible for specific mRNA codon recognition, and the 3' end, to which the tRNAs corresponding amino acid is attached (by aminoacyl-tRNA synthetases). tRNAs cope with the degeneracy of the genetic code in two manners: having more than one tRNA (with a specific anti-codon) for a particular amino acid; and 'wobble' base-pairing, i.e. permitting non-standard base-pairing at the 3rd anti-codon position. The record is from Rfam by way of RNAcentral. Lineage: Eukaryota; Metazoa; Chordata; Mammalia; Carnivora; Felidae.
GCCUGGGUGGCUCAGUCGGUUGAGCGUCUGACUUUGGCUCAGGUCAUGAUCUCACAGUUCGUGAGUUCGAGCCCCACGUCGGGCU